GAUAGGAGAAGAAAGCAUAACAGUAUCUAAUACCUACCGACCAAAACUUAUAUAAUCAUGAAACAAUAUGCAGGAAUCAACUACAUAAAUUAUUCCACAAUGGCUUCAAGAAAGCACACAAAUCUCAGGAUGAUACCCUCCAUUCACGGACAGCACAUCAAAUCACAAUCUCUUCCUCACAAAGAAGCAAGCAAAAGUGACCUUCCAGUAUAUGCAAGGCUUUUAAACUAACCCAGCAAGCCAGGCCCGGUGGUGGCUCCACUUCAAACAGUAAGAACCACCGCAAAAGCCAGCUGGCCAGUGCCUCGACCAUCAGGCCCGACCCCAGGAUUCCAGGUUAAGGUGAUGGAAUUCUAGCCUCUGAAACCGGCUAACCAAAGGGGUUGGGAGUGCAUUUCGGCAAAGAAAAGGACUCAUUUAACUGGAGAAACCCGGAUUAUGAAAGAGAAAGAAGCAGCAGCAGACAUGGCAGGGUUAUAACGACAUGGACACAACCUCCGUCCCUGGGAAAGCGAGAGAGGGGCGCAGCAGGGAAGCUGCUGACAAGCAGGAGUACACCGGUCACUCCCACCCUGGCCAUCCAAGCCCGGAUCGCCGAGAAGAUACCACGCAAACCCGGGUUCUCACUUUCCUGGAGACAACGCCAUCUCCUCCUUGCCCCCUGCCCAGGGGCGGGGCAAGAGUGGCAGAAUAAAGGCAGGACCCCUUCAGUCUUUAA
Molecule: long non-coding RNA, 718 nt
Organism: Cavia porcellus (domestic guinea pig)
Lineage: Eukaryota; Metazoa; Chordata; Mammalia; Rodentia; Caviidae
Exons: 2
Source: RefSeq, a predicted model, not a curated record